RNAcentral lists this small RNA (127 nucleotides) under Marmota monax (woodchuck). Lineage: Eukaryota; Metazoa; Chordata; Mammalia; Rodentia; Sciuridae. The record is from RNAcentral.
GCUGGGUGCAGUGGUGCACACCUGUAAUCCCAGCAGCUUGGGAGGCUGAGGCAGGAGGAUCCCAAGUCCAAAGUCAGCCUCAGCAAUUUAGUGAAGUACUAAGCAACUCAGUGAGACCCUGUCUCUA